AGAGUGAACGCUGGCGGCAGGCCUAACACAUGCAAGUCGAACGGCAGCACAGAGGAGCUUGCUCCUUGGGUGGCGAGUGGCGGACGGGUGAGGAAAACGUCGGAAUCUGCCUAUUUGUGGGGGAUAACGUAGGGAAACUUACGCUAAUACCGCAUACGACCUACGGGUGAAAGCGGAGGACCUUCGGGCUUCGCGCAGAUAGAUGAGCCGACGUCGGAUUAGCUAGUUGGCGGGGUAAAGCCCACAAGGCGACGAUCCGUAGCUGGUCUGAGAGGAUGAUCAGCCACACUGGAACUGACGACACCGGUCCAGACCUCCGUAACGGAGGCAGCAGGUAGGGAAUAGUUGGACAAGUGGGCGACAAGCCUAGGACUACCGAGCCAGUCGCCGCGUGUGUAGAAGGAAGUCCCGUUGGUUAGUAAAGCUAACGUUUUCGG
This 437-nucleotide ribosomal RNA is filed under the name uncultured soil bacterium. Its description in RNAcentral is "bacterial SSU rRNA". It matches the Rfam family "Bacterial small subunit ribosomal RNA", at positions 26 to 439 of the family's 1533-position model. The record is from RNAcentral.